UACGUAGGGCGCAAGCGUUGUCCGGAAUUAUUGGGCGUAAAGAGCUCGUAGGCGGCCUGUUGCGUCCGCUGUGAAAUCCCGGGGCUCAACCCCGGGCGUGCAGUGGAUACGGGCUGGCUGGAGGCAGGCAGGGGAGAACGGAAUUCCUGGUGUAGCGGUGAAAUGCGCAGAUAUCAGGACGAACACCGGUGGCGAAGGCGGUUCUCUGGGCCUUACCUGACGCUGAGGAGCGAAAGCGUGGGGAGCGAACAGG
Molecule: ribosomal RNA, 253 nt
Filed under: uncultured bacterium
Lineage: Bacteria
Description: partial 16S ribosomal RNA
Rfam family: Bacterial small subunit ribosomal RNA
Source: RNAcentral